RNAcentral lists this ribosomal RNA (392 nucleotides) under uncultured bacterium. RNAcentral's name for it is "bacterial SSU rRNA". It matches the Rfam family "Bacterial small subunit ribosomal RNA", at positions 335 to 719 of the family's 1533-position model. The record is from RNAcentral.
ACUCCUACGGGAGGCAGCAGUGGGGAAUAUUGCACAAUGGGGGAAACCCUGAUGCAGCCAUGCCGCGUGUGUGAAGAAGGCCUUCGGGUUGUAAAGCACUUUCAGUAGGGAGGAAGGUAGUGUAGUUAACACCUGCACUAUUUGACGUUACCUACAGAAGAAGCACCGGCUAACUCCGUGCCAGCAGCCGCGGUAAUACGGAGGGUGCGAGCGUUAAUCGGAAUUACUGGGCGUAAAGCGCAUGCAGGCGGCCUGUUAAGUCAGAUGUGAAAGCCCGGGGCUUAACCUCGGAAUUGCAUUUGAAACUGGCAGGCUAGAGUCUUGUAGAGGGGGGUAGAAUUUCAGGUGUAGCGGUGAAAUGCGUAGAGAUCUGAAGGAAUACCAGUGGCGAA